AGUAAUAACAAGAACUGCAUAAACAUGAAAAUGAUAAUAUUUGUUUGACCCAUAAAGAGAUAUUAUUUACGAGCAUUUUGGGGGAACACGGAAAAUGAUAAAUUCGUACAUUGGGUAAAAACCGUGACUGAGAUAAGGUGUCGUAUAACAAGGGGAGUGGGUCCACGGAUCCAGGAGGCCCGUGUCUACGCCAUCGUUACCUCUCCCACGUACAGACUGAUUGGUAUACAGUAAACCAGCCAUCAGCGAUAAUCAGAGUUUUUAUUCUCUAAAGAUAGCGUCUGGUAGAGUAACCAGGAAGUGGUCGGCGAGAACUGGGAGAAACUGGCCUCAAUUUGGGAUGAUUGCUGACCCUAAAUGAACACUGUCAAAUGUUACUUGAAAAGAGGAGAACGUAAUCAAGCGUUAUUUAUGACGACACAGUGUUUAGGCAAUGACGUUUACGGCGUUAAAUAGAUUUGCUUCCUGUAUCCGUUAUGUAAAUAUUUCAUUACUAGUAAGACUGGUUUUUUUUUUAAAGUCAGCGUCCCUACUUCCGUGUGUACAUUUUUUAUGCAUUGUUAUUCUUUUUCAUUCUUUGUCCAAAUCAUUCUUUCUUAUACAUAGUCUUGACUAUAUAACGUAUUUUGCUAUUUCGUAAUUACGUAUUCGUAUCAUGUUAGUUUUGAACAAUUUUUCAAUUUUAAUGGCGAAGACCUCUUAUUAGAACUUUUGUCCUAACCAUUUGUAUAUGUAUGUUAUAUAUAUAUAUUAAUGAAACAAAUAAUUAUUUACUGUUAUCAAAUUGUUCGGAAUUGAACAUGUAGAAAUAAUUCAUUUUGAUUAGACAAACUGGUUAUUUACAAUCUUUUUAAGGAGGAAAUACAAGAUCGAAAUGAUGCAUCGUCAACAUAUGGGCAGUGUGUUGAAAAAAAAAAACAAGAAACAAUUAGUUUCAUCUAAAAGAUCAUGAACUUUCCUCACAAUGUACAAGCGGGUCUGUAGUAUUAACAAAGUAAUAUAUGGUCAUUGGACAUGGUUUUAUUUUGGUAAAAAACAAUACAGAAACAUACAUGUACAUAUGCAUGUACCAUUAGUGAAAUUGUUAAAUAGUCAAAAGCAAAUUAUCAAUCUGUUUACAAAAUAAACAUUGAAUUCAAUGUUAAUCUUUGU
Molecule: long non-coding RNA, 1152 nt
Organism: Magallana angulata
Lineage: Eukaryota; Metazoa; Mollusca; Bivalvia; Ostreida; Ostreidae
Exons: 3
Source: RefSeq, a predicted model, not a curated record